This 505-nucleotide ribosomal RNA is filed under the name uncultured bacterium. RNAcentral describes it as "partial 16S ribosomal RNA". It matches the Rfam family "Bacterial small subunit ribosomal RNA", at positions 28 to 507 of the family's 1533-position model. The record is from RNAcentral.
GACGAACGCUGGCGGCGUGCCUAAUACAUGCAAGUAGAACGCACAGUUUAUACCGUAGCUUGCUACACCAUAGACUGUGAGUUGCGAACGGGUGAGUAACGCGUAGGUAACCUGCCUGGUAGCGGGGGAUAACUAUUGGAAACGAUAGCUAAUACCGCAUAAUAUUAAUUAUUGCAUGAUAAUUAAUUGAAAGGUGCAAUUGCACCACUACCAGAUGGACCUGCGUUGUAUUAGCUAGUAGGUGAGGUAACGGCUCACCUAGGCGACGAUACAUAGCCGACCUGAGAGGGUGAUCGGCCACACUGGGACUGAGACACGGCCCAGACUCCUACGGGAGGCAGCAGUAGGGAAUCUUCGGCAAUGGACGAAAGUCUGACCGAGCAACGCCGCGUGAGUGAAGAAGGUUUUCGGAUCGUAAAGCUCUGUUGUAAGAGAAGAACGGGCGUGAGAGUGGAAAGUUCACACUGUGACGGUAUCUUACCAGAAAGGGACGGCUAACUACGUG